This is a non-coding RNA of Paramuricea clavata, 553 nucleotides long. The record is from the annotation of a GenBank genome assembly. NCBI's taxonomy places the organism in Eukaryota, Metazoa, Cnidaria, Anthozoa, Malacalcyonacea, Plexauridae.
UCUUUAUCUUGUUAUCCUUAUCUUUAUUCCCUUAUCUUUAUCUUGCUUAUCUUUAUCUUGCUUAUUCUUAUCUUUAUCUUUAUCUUUAUCUUUAUCUUUAUCUUUAUAAUUAUCUUUAUCUUUAUCUUUAUCUUCAUAUUUAUCUUUAUCUUUAUCUUUAUCUUGCUUAUUCUUAUCUUCAUAUUUAUCUUUAUCUUUAUCUUUAUCUUGCUUAUCUUUAUCUUGCUUAUUCUUAUCUUUAUCUUUAUCUUUAUCUUUAUCUUUAUCUUUAUCUUUAUCUUUAUCUUUAUCUUUAUCUUUAUCUUUAUCUUUAUCUUUAUCUUUAUCUUUAUCUUUAUCUUUAUCUUCAUCUUCAUCUUCAUAUUUAUCUUCAUAUCUGAUUAUCUUCUUCUCAUCCGUAUCUUUAUCUUCCAAAUCUUUUUCUUAUCCACAUAUUUAUCUUCUUAUCUUCCUUAUCUUCAUCUUCUUAUCUUCUUCUCAUCCUUAUCUUUAUCUUCCAAAUCUUCUUCUUAUCCAUUUUUUUAUCUUCUUAUCUUCCUUAUCUUUAUCUUCU